RNAcentral lists this ribosomal RNA (253 nucleotides) under uncultured bacterium. RNAcentral's name for it is "partial 16S ribosomal RNA". It matches the Rfam family "Bacterial small subunit ribosomal RNA", at positions 524 to 776 of the family's 1533-position model. The record is from RNAcentral.
UACAGAGGUCCCAAGCGUUGUUCGGAUUCACUGGGCGUAAAGGGUGCGUAGGUGGUUAGGUAAGUCUGAUGUGAAAUCUCUGGGCUCAACCCAGAAACUGCAUUGGAUACUAUCUAGCUAGAGGAGUGGAGGGGGGACUGGAAUACUUGGUGUAGCAGUGAAAUGCGUAGAUAUCAAGUGGAACACCAGUGGCGAAGGCGAGUCCCUGGACACUUCCUGACACUGAGGAGCGAAAGCGUGGGGAGCGAACAGG